AUCUUAGACAGCCAUGACCAGAGCUUCGUGAAUGUGUCAAGUGGCAAUUUGACUGCUUUUACGUAUGACAUCAGCUGGCUCCAAGUUCAAAACUUCUGCAGAACGGAUGACGAAGAGCAACACGUUAAAAUGACUGCCACUAUUGAAACAGUGAUGUCAGAUAUCAAAACGAAAGCAAUACGGGAGCUUCAGCUGGAG
Molecule: long non-coding RNA, 198 nt
Organism: Gymnogyps californianus (California condor)
Lineage: Eukaryota; Metazoa; Chordata; Aves; Accipitriformes; Cathartidae
Exons: 3
Source: RefSeq, a predicted model, not a curated record